RNAcentral lists this ribosomal RNA (379 nucleotides) under uncultured eukaryote. Its description in RNAcentral is "partial 18S ribosomal RNA". It matches the Rfam family "Eukaryotic small subunit ribosomal RNA", at positions 592 to 976 of the family's 1831-position model. The record is from RNAcentral.
CAAUAGCGUAUAUUUAAGUUGUUGCAGUUAAAAAGCUCGUAGUUGGAUUUCGGAUGGGAUUUGCCGGUCCGUCGUUACGAUGUGCACUGGCCAGUCCUAUCUUGUUGUCGGGGACUAGCUCCUUGGAUUCACUUCCUGGGACUAGGAGCUGACGAGGUUACUUUGAGUAAAUUAGAGUGUUCAAAGCAAGCCUACGCUCUGAAUACAUUAGCAUGGAAUAACACGAUAGGACUCUGGCUUAUCUUGUUGGUCUGUGAGACCAGAGUAAUGAUUAAGAGGGACAGUCGGGGACAUUCGUAUUUCAUUGUCAGAGGUGAAAUUCUUGGAUUUAUGAAAGACGAACUUCUGCAAAAGCAUUUGUCAAGGAUGUUUUCAUUAG